UUUAAAUUGAGAGUUUGAUCCUGGCUCAGGAUGAACGCUGGUGGCGUGCCUAAUACAUGCAAGUCGUACGCUAGCCGCUGAAUUGAUCCUUCGGGUGAAGUGAGGCAAUGACUAGAGUGGCGAACUGGUGAGUAACACGUAAGAAACCUGCCCUUUAGUGGGGGAUAACAUUUGGAAACAGAUGCUAAUACCGCGUAACAACAAAUCACACAUGUGAUCUGUUUGAAAGGUCCUUUUGGAUCGCUAGAGGAUGGUCUUGCGGCGUAUUAGCUUGUUGGUAGGGUAGAAGCCUACCAAGGCAAUGAUGCGUAGCCGAGUUGAGAGACUGGCCGGCCACAUUGGGACUGAGACACUGCCCAAACUCCUACGGGAGGCUGCAGUAGGGAAUUUUCCGCAAUGCACGAAAGUGUGACGGAGCGACGCCGCGUGUGUGAUGAAGGCUUUCGGGUCGUAAAGCACUGUUGUAAGGGAAGAAUAACUGAAUUCAGAGAAAGUUUUCAGCUUGACGGUACCUUACCAGAAAGGGAUGGCUAAAUACGUGCCAGCAGCCGCGGUAAUACGUAUGUCCCGAGCGUUAUCCGGAUUUAUUGGGCGUAAAGCGAGCGCAGACGGUUUAUUAAGUCUGAUGUGAAAUCCCGAGGCCCAACCUCGGAACUGCAUUGGAAACUGAUUUACUUGAGUGCGAUAGAGGCAAGUGGAACUCCAUGUGUAGCGGUGAAAUGCGUAGAUAUGUGGAAGAACACCAGUGGCGAAAGCGGCUUGCUAGAUCGUAACUGACGUUGAGGCUCGAAAGUAUGGGUAGCAAACGGGAUUAGAUACCCCGGUAGUCCAUACCGUAAACGAUGGGUGCUAGUUGUUAAGAGGUUUCCGCCUCCUAGUGACGUAGCAAACGCAUUAAGCACCCCGCCUGAGGAGUACGGCCGCAAGGC
RNAcentral lists this ribosomal RNA (929 nucleotides) under Oenococcus oeni. RNAcentral describes it as "bacterial SSU rRNA". It matches the Rfam family "Bacterial small subunit ribosomal RNA", at positions 1 to 894 of the family's 1533-position model. Lineage: Bacteria; Bacillati; Bacillota; Bacilli; Lactobacillales; Lactobacillaceae. The record is from RNAcentral.